Molecule: non-coding RNA, 30 nt
Filed under: Mus musculus (house mouse)
Lineage: Eukaryota; Metazoa; Chordata; Mammalia; Rodentia; Muridae
Source: RNAcentral
UGAGUUUUUAGAAGAUUCACGUUACCUUGC